UUAAGCGACUAAGCGUACACGGUGGAUGCCCUGGCAGUCAGAGGCGAUGAAGGACGUGCUAAUCUGCGAUAAGCGUCGGUGAGGUGAUAUGAACCGUUAUAACCGGCGAUUUCCGAAUGGGGAAACCCAGUGUGUUUCGACACACUAUCAUUAACUGAAUCCAUAGGUUAAUGAGGCGAACCGGGGGAACUGAAACAUCUAAGUACCCCGAGGAAAAGAAAUCAACCGAGAUUCCCCCAGUAGCGGCGAGCGAACGGGGAGGAGCCCAGAGCCUGAAUCAGUGUGUGUGUUAGUGGAAGCGUCUGGAAAGGCGCGCGAUACAGGGUGACAGCCCCGUACACAAAAAUGCACAUAUUGUGAGCUCGAUGAGUAGGGCGGGACACGUGGUAUCCUGUCUGAAUAUGGGGGGACCAUCCUCCAAGGCUAAAUACUCCUGACUGACCGAUAGUGAACCAGUACCGUGAGGGAAAGGCGAAAAGAACCCCGGCGAGGGGAGUGAAAAAGAACCUGAAACCGUGUACGUACAAGCAGUGGGAGCACCUUCGGGUGUGACUGCGUACCUUUUGUAUAAUGGGUCAGCGACUUAUAUUCUGUAGCAAGGUUAACCGUAUAGGGGAGCCGCAGGGAAACCGAGUCUUAACUGGGCGUUAAGUUGCAGGGUAUAGACCCGAAACCCGGUGAUCUAGCCAUGGGCAGGUUGAAGGUUGGGUAACACUAACUGGAGGACCGAACCGACUAAUGUUGAAAAAUUAGCGGAUGACUUGUGGCUGGGGGUGAAAGGCCAAUCAAACCGGGAGAUAGCUGGUUCUCCCCGAAAGCUAUUUAGGUAGCGCCUCGUGAAUUCAUCUCCGGGGGUAGAGCACUGUUUCGGCAAGGGGGUCAUCCCGACUUACCAACCCGAUGCAAACUGCGAAUACCGGAGAAUGUUAUCACGGGAGACACACGGCGGGUGCUAACGUCCGUCGUGAAGAGGGAAACAACCCAGACCGCCAGCUAAGGUCCCAAAGUCAUGGUUAAGUGGGAAACGAUGUGGGAAGGCCCAGACAGCCAGGAUGUUGGCUUAGAAGCAGCCAUCAUUUAAAGAAAGCGUAAUAGCUCACUGGUCGAGUCGGCCUGCGCGGAAGAUGUAACGGGGCUAAACCAUGCACCGAAGCUGCGGCAGCGACACUAUGUGUUGUUGGGUAGGGGAGCGUUCUGUAAGCCUGUGAAGGUGUACUGUGAGGUAUGCUGGAGGUAUCAGAAGUGCGAAUGCUGACAUAAGUAACGAUAAAGCGGGUGAAAAGCCCGCUCGCCGGAAGACCAAGGGUUCCUGUCCAACGUUAAUCGGGGCAGGGUGAGUCGACCCCUAAGGCGAGGCCGAAAGGCGUAGUCGAUGGGAAACAGGUUAAUAUUCCUGUACUUGGUGUUACUGCGAAGGGGGGACGGAGAAGGCUAUGUUGGCCGGGCGACGGUUGUCCCGGUUUAAGCGUGUAGGCUGGUUUUCCAGGCAAAUCCGGAAAAUCAAGGCUGAGGCGUGAUGACGAGGCACUACGGUGCUGAAGCGACAAAUGCCCUGCUUCCAGGAAAAGCCUCUAAGCAUCAGGUAACAUCAAAUCGUACCCCAAACCGACACAGGUGGUCAGGUAGAGAAUACCAAGGCGCUUGAGAGAACUCGGGUGAAGGAACUAGGCAAAAUGGUGCCGUAACUUCGGGAGAAGGCACGCUGAUAUGUAGGUGAAGCGACUUGCUCGUGGAGCUGAAAUCAGUCGAAGAUACCAGCUGGCUGCAACUGUUUAUUAAAAACACAGCACUGUGCAAACACGAAAGUGGACGUAUACGGUGUGACGCCUGCCCGGUGCCGGAAGGUUAAUUGAUGGGGUUAGCGGUAACGCGAAGCUCUUGAUCGAAGCCCCGGUAAACGGCGGCCGUAACUAUAACGGUCCUAAGGUAGCGAAAUUCCUUGUCGGGUAAGUUCCGACCUGCACGAAUGGCGUAAUGAUGGCCAGGCUGUCUCCACCCGAGACUCAGUGAAAUUGAACUCGCUGUGAAGAUGCAGUGUACCCGCGGCAAGACGGAAAGACCCCGUGAACCUUUACUAUAGCUUGACACUGAACAUUGAGCCUUGAUGUGUAGGAUAGGUGGGAGGCUUUGAAGUGUGGACGCCAGUCUGCAUGGAGCCGACCUUGAAAUACCACCCUUUAAUGUUUGAUGUUCUAACGUGGGCCCCUUACCGGGGUUGCGGACAGUGUCUGGUGGGUAGUUUGACUGGGGCGGU
RNAcentral lists this ribosomal RNA (2254 nucleotides) under Escherichia coli. Its description in RNAcentral is "bacterial LSU rRNA". It matches the Rfam family "Bacterial large subunit ribosomal RNA", at positions 1 to 2283 of the family's 2925-position model. The record is from RNAcentral. Lineage: Bacteria; Pseudomonadati; Pseudomonadota; Gammaproteobacteria; Enterobacterales; Enterobacteriaceae.